Molecule: long non-coding RNA, 382 nt
Filed under: Mytilus galloprovincialis (Mediterranean mussel)
Lineage: Eukaryota; Metazoa; Mollusca; Bivalvia; Mytilida; Mytilidae
Source: RNAcentral
GGAUGUGUGAUGUCUGCUCUUCUUUUCAAUGUUGUCAUUGACUGAGUGAUGAGAAAAACAACAGAAGAUGCUCCAAGAGGAAUAAGAUGGAACCUUUCAGCAACACUAGAAGAUCUUGAUUUUGCUGAUGAUCUUGCUCUUUUAUCUCAUACCCACCACCAUUUACAAGAGAAGACAAACCGCCUUAAUACUUUUGCCAGUCAAGUUGGACUUAAAUUCAGCCAAACGAAAACAAAAGUCAUGACCCUUAACAUCAAUAACCCAGCUCCAAUCCUAGUAGAUGGAAAAGAUCUUCCCAUCCAGAAACAUUUACAUACCUAGGAAGUACAAUAAGAAACGAUGGAGGUGCAGGAAAUGACAUUAUGAACAGAUUAAACAAAGC